AUGAUGGACUCUGAGAAGAAAUGUAAUCGAACGGCCAUCGGAAUUGAUGAAAACAUGUCUUCGAUGAAAAGUUCGAAAGAAGAGACGUCAAAUUUUCAAAAAUCGAAAUCUCAAACGGCGGUGGAGGCGGAAUCAUCGGCGGCAGGCUCGUCGAGAGGGAGUGGUUGUUUCUCGAGGCGGGACAAGGUGACCGAUAUUCUCGACAAACAAUCGUCCACCGAUUCCCCGAAAAUAUUCAAAUCUUCGAGAUUCGGGAACGAGGAGAGUCACGAGAAUAGAUGGAAGAAAUUUUGGGACCAUCAUCGAAACAAAUUUCGACAGAGGUGCGAGAAGGAUCUCGCGACGAGGAAUCGUUCGCUCGAGGAGAUGACGACCGAGGUGGACGCUGUGUUUCGAAAGGCGAUUCGAAAUAUUCGUUUCGAUCGAUCUUCCACCGCGGACGAGAGCUGUCCAGAGAAGGAUAACAAGAGUGGGAAAGGGACGGCGAGCGUGUCGCAAAGUGUGGAGAAAUCGUUACAGCAACGAUCGAGGUUGGCUCGUUCGAAGGAGGAAGGUACGUUUACGAACAAAAUGGAAGAACACGAUGAUCCUUCGCCUCUUAAAAACAGCGAAGGGAGAGGGGAGGAAAAUACGUUGAACGCGAUCAGUCGUGCCAAUUUUCCCCUCGUGGAAAUUAAUAGGGGGGAAUGGAAUGAAAACACGAGGGCAAAAAAUCCUUCGAUCAGGAAAUGGAGCUCGUUGGAAAAUUUAUCCAUCAACGCGAGAGGAGGGAAUUCUUGCGAUCGGAGCAUAGAGGGCCUAUCGAUCGAAAGAGUAAUCGGAUGCAAGGAAAAGAGAAGGAUCGAGUCUUUGAGGUCUUCGUUGGAAAGGAAAAUGGGAUCUGUGGAGAGGAUGUUGGAGGAUCAGAUAGAGAAAAUAUGGGACGAGAAAGUGGAGAAACAUCCGUGGUUGUUGCCUAUCGACAAUUGGAUCGUUGAUCGUUGCAGAUCUUCUCGAAAGUGUUCUUCUGCCGUUCAAAACAGGAGAAACGAUAGUUUACACACGGAGGAAGGGAAUUCGGUGGAGAAAGAACGAAUUGAAGAGAGUUUCGAUUCUAAAUUUAUCGCUUCGGGAACGGGAGACGGAGAGGGAAGGGUGGAGAUGAAAUCGAUUGAACAUUUGAAGAAGCCGGAAAGAUUGAAAUUCGAAAAUAUGAACUCGAAUUCGAGAUUGAAGAGGCUCGAUCAGUCGAAGGAGGGAGAAGUUUUGGAGAUGAAAGAUGUAAAACACUAUGACCUAUUUGAUAAACUGAAGGACAAUGUUAAAGAGAAAAUGGAGGAUAUUCACAGGUACUUCCAAAGGACCAAUCGAUUGGCAGAUGUAAAUAGACGAUUAAAGUCGCAAAUAUGGAGCUCCGUGGUGACGAUCGUUCUCGUGGAGGCGAAGAAUUUGCUACCUAUGGAUAUAGAGGGCCUCUCGGAUCCCUACGUAAAAUUUCGUCUUGGGACAGAAAAGUACAAGUCAAAAGUGGUGCACAAGACCUUGAAUCCCGUUUGGUUGGAGCAAUUCGAUCUUCACCUAUACGAAGAUCCCUAUUUAGGGCAGGAGUUGGAGGUGACGGUGUGGGAUCGCGAUAAAAGCCAUCAGGAUGACCUAAUGGGGAAGACGGUGAUAGAUUUGGCAACGCUCGAACGCGAGACGACUCACAGGCUAUGGCGCGAUCUCGAGGACGGUUCUGGAAACAUUUUUCUCCUGUUGACCAUCAGUGGAACUACCGCCAGUGAAACGAUCAGCGAUCUAGCUGCCCACGAGGAGACUCCUCGCGAACGCGAACAAUUGUACCAAAGAUAUUCAAUGAGAAACACGUUGCAGAGGUUGCGAGAUGUUGGCCAUUUAACUGUUAAGGUAUUCAGAGCGCAAGGUCUCGCGGCGGCCGAUUUGGGCGGGAAGAGCGAUCCUUUUUGCGUGUUGGAAUUGGUGAACGCUAGAUUGCAGACUCAGACGGAGUACAAAACGCUGGCUCCAAACUGGCAAAAAAUAUUUACUUUCAACGUGAAAGAUAUUAAUUCGGUGCUGGAGGUGACGGUGUACGACGAGGACAGGGACCACAAGGUGGAGUUUCUCGGGAAAGUUGCCAUACCUCUUUUGAAGAUAAGGAACGGUGAAAAACGAUGGUACGCGUUGAAGGACAAGAAAUUGAGAGGUCGAGCAAAAGGGAAUUCCCCCCAAAUUCUGUUGGAAAUGACCGUGGUGUGGAACGUUGUGAGAGCCUGUGUACGAACGUUGAAUCCCAAAGAGAAGAAAUACAUGGAACCGGAGAUAAAGUUCAAGAGACAAGUGUUUCUGCGUAACGUUCUCAGAUUGAAGGCAAUCAUCGUUAUCGUUAUCGACAUUGGAAAUUAGGAGCUGCUGGGAAUGGGAAAGUAAAAUGAGAAGCAUCUUUGCACUGGUUAUCUUUGUUUUGGGCUGUUACUAUUUUGAGCCUUACAUGUUCCCUGGAAUAGCACUCCUUAUCUUGUUAAAAUACUAUCUGCUUUACGGGGAUGGAAAUGGAUUGAAACAAUGGAUUUCCGGACAGGUCGCGAUGAUAACCGGUACGCCCCUGACCCAUCACACCACCCAUUCGCACUUUCACGACGAGAUCGACGAAGGUCCAGCCACUCCAGGGGACGACGACGACGACGACGACGACAAGGA
This 2676-nucleotide unclassified non-coding RNA is filed under the name Apis dorsata (giant honeybee). RNAcentral's name for it is "multiple C2 and transmembrane domain-containing protein, transcript variant X5". The record is from RNAcentral. Lineage: Eukaryota; Metazoa; Arthropoda; Insecta; Hymenoptera; Apidae.